CCUUUCCUAGAAGCACUACAGGUGUGACUUGCGUGUCACGUGUGCAUCAGUAGAUGGCAGAGAGGCUAGAGGUGAUGUCUAUGCCCAGUGUUCUGACUUAUGAACAUCUGAAUGAUUAGUAACCUAACAUU
This is a small nucleolar RNA of Meriones unguiculatus (Mongolian gerbil), 131 nucleotides long. The record is from Ensembl. Lineage: Eukaryota; Metazoa; Chordata; Mammalia; Rodentia; Muridae.